GACGAACGCUGGCGGCGUGCUUAACACAUGCAAGUGGAGCGACGAACCCGGGCUUGCCCGGGGGCAGAGCCGCGAACGGGUGAGUAACACGUGGGUAACGUGCCCCGAUGACCGGGACAACCCGAGGAAACUCGGGCUAAUACCGGAUAAGACCUUCGCACAUCAGUGCAAAGGGGAAAGGUAGCUUCGGCUUCCGCGUCGGGAUCGGCCCGCGGCCCAUUAGCUUGUUGGUGAGGUAACGGCUCACCAAGGCUCCGAUGGGUAGCUGGUCUGAGAGGACGAUCAGCCACACUGGGACUGAGACACGGCCCAGACUCCUACGGGAGGCAGCAGUGGGGAAUCUUGCGCAAUGCGCGAAAGCGUGACGCAGCAACGCCGCGUGAGGGAAGACGGCCUUCGGGUUGUAAACCUCUUUCAGUUGGGACGAAGCUUCGCCGGUGAACAGCCGGCUGGAGUGACGGUACCUUCAGAAGAAGCCCCGGCUAACUACGUGCCGGCAGCCGCGGUAAUACGUAGGGGGCAAGCGUUGUCCGGAAUCAUUGGGCGUAAAGCGCGUGU
RNAcentral lists this ribosomal RNA (558 nucleotides) under uncultured bacterium. RNAcentral describes it as "bacterial SSU rRNA". It matches the Rfam family "Bacterial small subunit ribosomal RNA", at positions 28 to 572 of the family's 1533-position model. The record is from RNAcentral.